RNAcentral lists this ribosomal RNA (445 nucleotides) under uncultured bacterium. RNAcentral describes it as "bacterial SSU rRNA". It matches the Rfam family "Bacterial small subunit ribosomal RNA", at positions 354 to 796 of the family's 1533-position model. The record is from RNAcentral.
GUAAGGAAUAUUGGACAAUGGACGCAAGUCUGAUCCAGCCAUGCCGCGUGAAGGAUUAAGGUCCUCUGGAUUGUAAACUUCUUUUAUAAGGGACGAAAAAAGGCUUUUCUAAGUCGUCUGACGGUACCUUAUGAAUAAGCACCGGCUAACUCCGUGCCAGCAGCCGCGGUAAUACGGAGGGUGCAAGCGUUAUCCGGAUUCACUGGGUUUAAAGGGUGCGUAGGCGGGCAGGUAAGUCAGUGGUGAAAUCCUAGAGCUUAACUCUAGAACUGCCAUUGAUACUAUCUGUCUUGAAUAUUGUGGAGGUAAGUGGAAUAUGUCAUGUAGCGGUGAAAUGCUUAGAUAUGACAUAGAACACCUAUUGCGAAGGCAGCUUACUACGCAUAUAUUGACGCUGAGGCACGAAAGCGUGGGGAUCAAACAGGAUUAGAUACCCCUGUAGUCC